Molecule: non-coding RNA, 184 nt
Filed under: Thermomonas sp.
Lineage: Bacteria; Pseudomonadati; Pseudomonadota; Gammaproteobacteria; Lysobacterales; Lysobacteraceae
Description: 6S RNA
Rfam family: 6S / SsrS RNA
About the family: E. coli 6S RNA was the first non coding RNA to be sequenced, but its function was unknown until recently.
Source: RNAcentral
UGCCCUCUGCCGUGUGCGACGGCGUGCGCAACAUUUGCCUUGUCCCUAGAUGACGACCACGGGGUGGCAUCGGUUGCCGGGAGUGCAGGUCCGCCCACGAGCGGAAAGCCCGAAGGCCACCGCGCUUCCCCACUUGAACCGCAGGUUCAAGGUCGUUACGCACGCAUCGGCACGGUGGAGGCAU